AACUGGAUAGCCUAGUGGUCAAGGGCAGCACUUCUAGCAAUGAUGAGGUUCCAGGUUCAAAUCCUGGUCUGGUCA
Molecule: transfer RNA, 75 nt
Filed under: Endocronartium harknessii PhW48OC
Lineage: Eukaryota; Fungi; Basidiomycota; Pucciniomycetes; Pucciniales; Coleosporiaceae
Description: tRNA-Ala (AGC) (tRNA-Ala-AGC-9-1)
Rfam family: tRNA
About the family: Transfer RNA (tRNA) molecules are approximately 80 nucleotides in length. Their secondary structure includes four short double-helical elements and three loops (D, anti-codon, and T loops). Further hydrogen bonds mediate the characteristic L-shaped molecular structure. tRNAs have two regions of fundamental functional importance: the anti-codon, which is responsible for specific mRNA codon recognition, and the 3' end, to which the tRNAs corresponding amino acid is attached (by aminoacyl-tRNA synthetases). tRNAs cope with the degeneracy of the genetic code in two manners: having more than one tRNA (with a specific anti-codon) for a particular amino acid; and 'wobble' base-pairing, i.e. permitting non-standard base-pairing at the 3rd anti-codon position.
Source: RNAcentral